UCCAAUAAUGGGCAGCUGGAGAUCCCUCACAUAACUGACAACACUAAGGGUCAAAGAGGCUUCUGAUACCCCUGAGGGAGAGCACUGCUGGCUUCCAGCACUCUACUCAUCGUACUGCACUUACCUAAGUUACCGAUAACCCUCUUGUUGCUACUGCCAAUGAAAGUGCCUUUUGCCUCCUGCCAUGAUUCUGAGGCCUCCCCAGCCAUAUGGAACUGUACAAAGUUAUAUUAGGACCCCUCUCCUAUGAAAUCAACAAGAAUUGUGUCUCUUCCUCAUGCCCUCAACUCCACUGAGGAUCCUGCCCUGUCUUAGGAAACCACUGCCAUAGACGGAGCUUCACUCCGUAGCCAGGCUGGAAUGCAAUGGCGCAAUCUCGGCUCACUGCAACCUCCACCUCUCGGGUUCAAGCAAUUCUCCUGCCUCAGUGUCUUGAAUAGCUAGGACUACAGGCACACGCCACCACAUCCAGCUAAGUUUUGUAUUUUUAGUAGAUACGGGGUUUCACCAUGUUGCCCAGAAGGGUCUCGAUCUCUUAACCUCGUGAUCUGCCUGCCUCGGCCUCCCAAAGUGCUGGGAUUACAGUUGUGAGCCACUGCACCCAAUCCCUAUUUUUCAAAUCUUGGGUUAGCUACUAACCAGUUGAGUGGCCUCAGGCAAAUUUAAGCUCCCUGGGCCUCAGGGCCUCCAUGUGUAAAAUGAUUAGUGAUACAACUUACUUAAGUGUGAGAAUUAAAUGAGAUAAAGUAUUAGAAUGUUCCCCAUGAUGCUUGACACAUUAAGUAGACACUAAAUAUAUUUUCAUUCUCUCCUUUAAUUUGCCAAGAAUCAGUGGUGAUAUUUUUAGCAAACAUGAUUAUUUGAAAGAGGAAGGCAUCAGUUGAGGUGAUAGAAAAUAAAAUAAAAGAAGCCGAGAUGAAGGACGAAACUCAUAGUCUUUACAAAAGGCUUUAUUAACAGGCAAAGGUUUGCUUAUAAAAUUAGUGAUCAAUGGUUUAAAUAAUACUCUUAAAAAGAAAAAGUCUAACUUAUCCACAAAAUAAAUGUAAAUAACAGGGGAACUCAAUUUACUCUAUGUAGGGAAAGAUUAAAUUGGUGAACGUUAGAGGAAGAAAGUUUGAGCUCCAAAACCCAUCAGGUUCUUCCCCAUCCUCACUCGGGAAGCUUUGCCACUUGUUAUUUCCUCUGUAAAGGGUUCUUCUCAUGGCUGAUUCCUUGGGAUCUUCCCUUCCUUCAAAGUAUCCUUUUUGAGCACUGUGUAAGCCUUUUACAGAAUCCUGUUUAUUUACCUCAUCACUGUUGUUUAUUUACUUGGUUAGCUGGUGAGUC
Molecule: long non-coding RNA, 1329 nt
Organism: Symphalangus syndactylus (siamang)
Lineage: Eukaryota; Metazoa; Chordata; Mammalia; Primates; Hylobatidae
Source: RefSeq, a predicted model, not a curated record